RNAcentral lists this ribosomal RNA (960 nucleotides) under Oesophagostomoides giltneri. RNAcentral describes it as "large subunit ribosomal RNA". The record is from RNAcentral. Lineage: Eukaryota; Metazoa; Nematoda; Chromadorea; Rhabditida; Strongylidae.
UAAGAUUUUGUUUUUUUAUAAUUUGGUAUUGCAUAUCAUUUAAGGAAAAUUUCAUAGUAAUGAGUUAUAAAAUUAGAGGGUAGAAAAAUUUUAUUAUUUUUAUUGUUUCAUAAUAAGAAUUAUAAUUUUUAGUGUUGAAAAGUCGACCUUUAAGAUAUUUGUGUUUUUUUAAGAAUUAGAAAAUUAUUUUGUUUGAUUAUUUUAUUAUAAAAUGUAAGAGUUGAAGUAUCUUUUUUUUUAGUUUUAUAACAGUUUAUACGAGAUUUGUAAGUUUAUAUUAUUAGGUAUAUAAUAAUAUAUUAUUAUAUAAAUUAUUUUGAAAUUAGUAGUAAGUUUAAAUUGAAUAUUUGUGUUUGAAUAUAAUUAAAAAACUCAAAAAUUAAUCAAAUGUUUUUUAAAGACUUAGACUUUUAUAUAAAGUUUGCUUCUGCCCUGUGAUGUAAAUUAAAUGGCAGUCUUAGCGUGAGGACAUUAAGGUAGCAAAAUAAUUUGUGCUUUUAUUGGGUUCCAGUAUGAAUGAAGUUAUUGGUUAAUUUAUUUUUUGAUUUUUAAGUGAAUUUUUAAUUAAUAAUAAAAAAAUAUUGUUAUAAUAAUACAAAGAUAAGUCUUCGGAAAUUCUUUUUUAAGAAUAAUAAUAAUUAUUCUUAAAAAUUUUCUAGGGCAGAAUUUUAUAUAAUUAUGUUAUCUAUUAAUAAUUUAAUGAAUUACUCCGGAGUUAACAGAAAAUCAUAUCUAAUCUAGUUCUUAUAGUAAGAUAAGUUUUACAUCGAUGUUGUAUUUAAGUUUGUUAAAAAAGGAGAAGAUUUAAAUUUUAAGACUGUUCUUCUUUUAAUUAAUUUAACGUGAUAUUAGUUUAAUUCAUUGUGAGAUAGAAUUGUUUAUCUUGUUUAUUAUUUUUUUAAAAUUUUAAUAGUACGAAAGGAAAAUUAAAAAAAGUUUUAAACUUUUUGGUUUUGACCU